RNAcentral lists this long non-coding RNA (219 nucleotides) under Panax ginseng (ginseng). Its description in RNAcentral is "long non-coding RNA (PGIN_LNC015081)". The record is from RNAcentral. Lineage: Eukaryota; Viridiplantae; Streptophyta; Magnoliopsida; Apiales; Araliaceae.
AAGGAAAGGGCAAGGUUAACAAGUGAUGAAGACUUGUUGUUUAUGUGAUGUAAUUAUGUUUUAAACUCAUGUUAAAGUUGUGUAGGACUUAUUAUUUGUUUAUGUUUCCGCAUAAAUGUUUAAGGUUAGAUUAACUUGGGAUUGUAUCGUUAUUCAGAUGUUGUAACCCCAUAAGGGGAGGAUUAUUUCUAUCUAUUGCAUAAGUUGCUUUUAUUAUGG